ACUCCUACGGGAGGCAGCAGUGGGGAAUAUUGCACAAUGGGCGCAAGCCUGAUGCAGCCAUGCCGCGUGUAUGAAGAAGGCCUUCGGGUUGUAAAGUACUUUCAGCAGUGAGGAAGGUGGGUAUGUUAAUAGCAUAUUCAUUUUGACGUUAGCUGCAGAAGAAGCACCGGCUAACUCCGUGCCAGCAGCCGCGGUAAUACGGAGGGUGCGAGCGUUAAUCGGAAUUACUGGGCGUAAAGCGCAUGCAGGUGGUUUGUUAAGUCAGAUGUGAAAGCCCGGGGCUCAACCUCGGAAUUGCAUUUGAAACUGGCAAACUAGAGUACUGUAGGAGGGGGUAGAAUUUCGAGGUGUAGCGGUAGAAUGAGUAGAGAUCUAGGAAGGAAUACCGGGUGGACGAAGGCCGGCCCCUAGGACAGAUACUGACACUCAGAUGACGAAGCGGUAGGGGAGACAAACGAGGUAUUAGAACUACCCGUGGUAGGCUCUGAC
Molecule: ribosomal RNA, 489 nt
Filed under: uncultured bacterium
Lineage: Bacteria
Description: bacterial SSU rRNA
Rfam family: Bacterial small subunit ribosomal RNA
Source: RNAcentral